RNAcentral lists this long non-coding RNA (203 nucleotides) under Elaeis guineensis (African oil palm). RNAcentral describes it as "long non-coding RNA (EGUI_LNC014194)". Lineage: Eukaryota; Viridiplantae; Streptophyta; Magnoliopsida; Arecales; Arecaceae. The record is from RNAcentral.
AGGCUAGAUCAUAUAGGAGAAGAAAGGAUUAAUAGAUUGGAGAAAGAUAGGCUCUUGAGCUCAUUGACUUUAGAGUCUUAUCUAGCCUGUGAGUCCUACCUUCAAGAAAAAAUGAUCAAGCUAUCAUUUGUGAGACAAGGAGAAAAGACCAUAAAAAUACUUACUCUGGUACACAUUGAUGUGUGUGAUCCAUUUGAUAUGCU